GACAGUAGCGGGGGAAUCAGCCUCGGCUAACUACGUGCCAGCAGCCGCGGUAAUACGUAGGAGGCGAGCGUUGUCCGGAAUUACUGGGUGUAAAGCGCGUGUAGGUGGCACGCCAAGUCGGUCGUGAAAUCCUUCGGCUCAACCGGAGGGGGUCGGUCGAAACUGGCGAGCUGGAGGGCGGUAGAGGCGAGUGGAAUUCCCGGUGUAGUGGUGAAAUGCGUAGAGAUCGGGAGGAACACCUGUGGCGAAGGCGGCUCGCUGGGCCGGCCCUGACACUGAGACGCGAAGGCGUGGGGAGCGAACGGGAUUAGAUACCCCGGUAGUCCACGCAGUAAACGAUGCCGACUAGGUGUCGGGGGUAUCGAGCCCCUCGGUGCCGUAGCUAACGCAGUAAGUCGGCCACCUGGGGAGUACGGCCGCAAGGUUAAAACUCAAAGGAAUUGACGGGUCCCCGCACAAGCAGCGGAGCGUGCGGUUUAAUUCGAUGCAACGCGAAGAACCUUACCCAGAUUUGACAUGGCGUGGCAAGCCGGGGAAACUCGGCCCUCGCAAGACCGCGUCACAGAUGUUGCAUGGCUGUCGUCAGCUCGUGUCGUGAGAUGUUGGGUUAAGUCCCGCAACGAGCGCAACCCUCGUGCGAUGUUGUCGAUCAUCGCAGACUGCCGGACAAAACCGGAGGAAGGUGGGGAUGACGUCAAGUCCGCAUGGCUCUUACAUCUGGGGCUACACGCACGCUACAAUGGUCGGGACAGCGCGCAGCGCGGGGGCAACCCCAAGCGAAUCGUGAAAGCCGGCCUCAGUGCAGAUGGUGGGCUGCAACUCGCCCGCCUGAAGACGGAGUUGCUAGUAACCGCGUGACAGCAUAGCGCGGUGAAUAUGUUCCCGGGGAUUGUACACACCGCCCGUCACGUCAUGGGAGCCGCCAACACCUGAAGUCCGUGGGCCAACCAGCGCAAGUUGGAGGCAGCGGCCGAGGGUGGGGGGGGUGACUGGGACGAAGUCGUAACAAGGUAGCCGUA
Molecule: ribosomal RNA, 1019 nt
Filed under: uncultured bacterium
Lineage: Bacteria
Description: bacterial SSU rRNA
Rfam family: Bacterial small subunit ribosomal RNA
Source: RNAcentral